GACGAACCGUGCGAACGUUGUUCGGAAUCACUGGGCUUAAAGGGCGCGUAGGCGGACAGGCCAGUCUAGGGUGAAAUCUUUCGGCUCAACCGGAAAAGUGCCUUGGAUACUGCCUGUCUCGAGGGAGGUAGGGGCCGCGGGAACUUCCGGUGGAGCGGUGAAAUGCGUUGAUAUCGGAAGGAACGCCGGUGGCGAAAGCGCGCGGCUGGCCCUCUUCUGACGCUGAGGCGCGAAAGCCAGGGGAGCAAACGGG
RNAcentral lists this ribosomal RNA (253 nucleotides) under uncultured bacterium. RNAcentral describes it as "partial 16S ribosomal RNA". It matches the Rfam family "Bacterial small subunit ribosomal RNA", at positions 524 to 776 of the family's 1533-position model. The record is from RNAcentral.